UACAGAGGUCUCAAGCGUUGUUCGGAUUCAUUGGGCGUAAAGGGUGCGUAGGUGGCGAGGUAAGUCAGGUGUGAAAUCUCGGAGCUCAACUCCGAAACUGCACUUGAUACUGCACCGCUCGAGUACUGGAGAGGAGAUUGGAAUUUACGGUGUAGCAGUGAAAUGCGUAGAUAUCGUAAGGAAGACCAGUGGCGAAGGCGAAUCUCUGGACAGUUACUGACACUGAGGCACGAAGGCCAGGGGAGCAAACGGG
RNAcentral lists this ribosomal RNA (253 nucleotides) under uncultured bacterium. RNAcentral describes it as "partial 16S ribosomal RNA". It matches the Rfam family "Bacterial small subunit ribosomal RNA", at positions 524 to 776 of the family's 1533-position model. The record is from RNAcentral.